Molecule: long non-coding RNA, 658 nt
Filed under: Rattus norvegicus (Norway rat)
Lineage: Eukaryota; Metazoa; Chordata; Mammalia; Rodentia; Muridae
Description: long non-coding RNA NONRATT008482
Source: RNAcentral
GAAACCAGAGCAAAACAAAAUGCGAGGAAGGAGACAAGAUUAGACUCACUUUCUUUGAGGUGUCAAACAAUAGAGGGAAAAUUCAGUUGAAAUCUGGACCCUGUAGCAUCUAUAAGGUUAUUAAGGCUGCAAAGCCCAAAACUAAGGUGAAAAGUGUGGAGUGAAGUCAACUCAUCUCAAAAGCACUGUUCUGAAGAAUCCUAAUUCUGCUUCUUGAACCAGACUUAAUUAACUACCUGAGGAUAGCAGUUUACAGCCGCAUAUUCCUAUUAUAUUAGUAAGAAAAGGACAAACACACUCACACACAAAAAAACCCAACUGAAAAUGUAUUAUUAAUUAAUUAUUAUUAAUUAAAUUAUUGCUUUGUCUAAGGGUUGGGCUAUUAUUCUUCUCUACAAAGAAAUUGAGGGUAUAAGUAUGGCAGAAUUGGAGAUGUGACAGCUAUGGCUGGUAUGAGAGAAGCCUGCGGUUGAUAGAGAAGAAGGUUGGUGAUAUAUCUUUUUUAAUUUUAAUUUUUUUAAUUUUCUUUCGGGGAGGAGGUUACAAGGGUGGAGGUUGGAUAUGGGAGGACUAAGACAUGAGUGAGAUGAUGUUAAAAAAAAGGAAAGAUUGUUGAAAAAUAAAUAAACAUGAUUUUAUUCAGAAUUCAGAAAGUUAC